Long non-coding RNA from Trachemys scripta elegans, 1574 nucleotides. RefSeq lists it as uncharacterized. The transcript is spliced from 3 exons. Lineage: Eukaryota; Metazoa; Chordata; Testudines; Emydidae. The record is from RefSeq and is a predicted model, not a curated record.
AAUGCUAAUUAGAGAUGGACAAACUACUUCAGAUAAAUUAAGAAGCAUCCCUACCUUUGUGUGAAAAUUUGCACGGUACUCAAAUGGAACAUUCUCUGAAUUCCCUUUGUCAAUCCUGCUUGGCAUUCCAGGUUCUGGACCGGAAGCAGGAACGAUACAACAAUGACAAAGAACAUACCCAGGGUAUUUCUGGCCCAAGGAGAAGCAGGAAUCUGCAAGAGCCUGGCCUCAUGAGCUGCAAAAGAUUCUGACUGACUUGCACAAGAAACUAUAUUUUGGAUGAUUUUUUUCAAUUCAAACUUCCACAGAUUUUGAGGUUUGGCCUUCGCUAUUGCUAUGUCUCUUUAGCCAGCAAGUAGAAGAUGCUCCCACGUACACGCUUUGGUUUCCAUCCUCUGUCCCAAAGACUGACUGACCCACUUUAUAAGGAAAUCAGCAAUUCUGCGUUAAAACUGUUUUUUUUUUUUUUCAUUUGAUAGUUACAUUUUCUUUUUCUGGCUGCAGGGUGAGAUUUGAACUGGUGCUUUGAGCCCACAAGUCACAUACAGUGCAAGGGCCUGCUUGUGACUGAAAUUUCACUGUUCCAUUAAGAAGACAAAGGAAUAGAGCAACGCUAAGGACUAGAGAGGACACCUUCAAAGCCUUAAAAGACAGCUAGGCACUCAGCUCCCCUUGAAAGCAAAUGGUCAGCUGCACACAGUGGACUGUUGCUUUUGGGCUCAAAAAACAAGCAGUGAGUGGUGGGAUCACAUCGUUAUGCAGGUCUGGGCUGACGAGCAGUGGCUGUAGAAUUUUCAGAUGAGGAAAGACACCUUAUUGGAACUGUGUGUGGCGCUCGCCCCAGCACUCCCAUGCAAGUACAUCAAAACAAGAGCUGCCCUCUUGGUGGAGAAGUGCCUGGCGAUUGCAGUGUGGAAGCCAGCGACUCGCUACUGGAACACCGGCCUGUCCAGAAAGCUGAAGACGGGGACUUUCUUUCCAGACCAAAAGAUUCCGAUGUAGGAUGUUGAUCCCAUAUGAUCCUGGGAGACCCAGCGUACUCCCAUGGCUUAUGAAGCCAUACACAGGAAACCUGGAUAGCAGUAAGAAGCGCUUCAGCAAUAGGCUCAGUAGAUGCAGGAUGACGGUGGAAUGUGCGUUUGGCACAAUGGCAAUGCCUUUAUGGCAGGCUAGACCUCAAUGAGGAGAAUAUUCCCAUGGUCACAGCUGCCUGUUGUAUGUUGCAUAGUAUUUGUGAAGGUAAUGGGGAAAGGUUUGUUCAGGGGUGGACUGCUGAGGCACAGUGCCUGGCAGCUGAUUUUGAGCAGCCUGAUACCAGGGCUAUUAGAGGGGCACAAUGGGGGACCAUUCAAAUCAGGGAAGCCUUGAGGCAACACUUUGAGAAUGAGAACCAAAAAUGUAUAUUUCUAUGCUGCAAACUACAAUGCUUCAUUAAAUCGAACUUUCCUAGGAAGCAGUUGUGAUGAUUCAUGGUCUAGGAUUUCAGUAAGCAAAAGAUUAAACUGCCUGUGUAUGUCUUGCUGCUGCCUGCUAUCUCAAUUUGUAGGGCAUAAAUAAAAAUCAAUUAUCUUUCA